AGAUAAGUAUCUAUUUUUCUCGUUUUGUAUAUUUCACAUACAUAAAUUUUAUCAGAAAAGUAUAAGUUUCAAACCGCGAGAUAGCGCUACCGUCGAAACUCACAGCCAAUUGGGUUGUUUCGGGAGAGAUUAAAUGUCCAGCAAACGACGGCAAUGUUGCCAGAUUCCUUUUAGCGGGAAUUUUAAAAUUUUAUAGCAGGUUUGUUUUAAAUUUGACAGUUCUGUUUUCUCAAGUCAAAAAUCUUAACCUUACUUUUACAAGUGAUUAGGAUUAUUAUUAUUAUUUUAUUUACAUGUAAAUUGAAACAAUAAAUAUUGUGCUGUGUCAUAAUUUCAAACUCAUUAUGUUGCAGUCUUUUCCAGUUGAUAAAAUUGCAAUUCAAAAACUUUUAGGUAGAUUUGCACUGUAUGGAUGGCACAGGAAGAGAACAAAGAGUACAAGAACAUGAAACAUCUUAUUAUGAAUGUAUAUGUAUGUGAUCCUCAAAAAAUUAUUUUACAAAACAAGAUAGAGAAAGAGCUUUAAAAUCCCAAGGAUCCUGCAAAAUGUUUAUUUGGUGUACUAGUCGAAUAAUAGUAUCUAAAAAUAUUGAAACUAUUUUAAAACACAUUACGGGCAUGAGGAUGAUAUAGAGCACUUACAUAAAUACCAAAAUCAGAUAAAUAUCUCUUCAAAGUUUAUUUUGAGACUUUCUUCAAAAAUUAAACUUCAGACUGUUCAGGAUAGCAUAAUAGCAUAGGAGGCGAAUUAAAAAGAAUUGAUUUACUUACAAAGAAAAGAUAUCACAAACAUUAAACUCUCUUAUGGCAUUGAUUUCAAAGAUGGGUAUAUGUACAAUGAUGAUGCAACCAGUGUUUAUUUUUGGGUUGAAUGCUUACAGACUUAUGUCCAAUAUUAUUUUACAAACAACAGGGCAUACUAAUGGAUAUUCAUUCUGAAUUUAACAUUUAUGAUUUUUGUCUUAUUUUCCUUAAUACUGUGCCAAAAGGAAAUGUUAAUUAAGUUUGGUAAAUCCUGUAUCGCAAUCGAUGGAACUCAUGGGCUCAAUUCCUAUGACUUUGAACUUAUGACAGUAUUAGUAAAAGAUGAAUUUGGGAAUGGAUUUUGUACUGCUUUCUUAUUUUCAAAUAGAAAAGAUACCUACUUUAAUUUACCAAUUUUUUUAAAUACAUGUCUGUGUUGGUAUUAUAGUCAAAUGUUUUCAUAUCAGGCAUAAGCGACACCUUUUACAACGCCUCGUCAAAUGUAAUGGGUAUUGCUCCUAAUAGACUGUUAAGUGCCUGGCACAUAGAUAAGGCAUGGUAAGUAAAUCUUAAUACAAUAUCUGAUUCUGAAAAAAAUCCUAUUAUGUAUACAGGAUGUAUUAAUGAUGGUUUAGAGAGUAUUAAUAGCUUUUUGGGUAGACUUCUAAGUGAUGCAGAUACAUACAAUUUUAGUAAGUAUUUCCAGUAGAACUACUGCAAUAACAUCCAACAAUGGGCCUAUUGUUAUAGGAAGGGGUUGUGGAAUUAAUACCAAUAUGACCAUUCAAAAUUUUCAUAAAAUUUUGGAUAAAAGGGUAUCCAUUAGUUGUUAUCAGUUAAGUUUAAAACUUGGCACUCAUGGAGAGCUAUACCAUAAUAUAUAAUAGGUAUAUCUCAUAAUAUUACAUCUCAUAUUGUUCACUACAGUAGUAAUGAGUGAGCCUGCAUACACAGAACCAUAAUAAUAUAUUAGUUCGUGU
Molecule: long non-coding RNA, 1724 nt
Filed under: Diabrotica virgifera virgifera (western corn rootworm)
Lineage: Eukaryota; Metazoa; Arthropoda; Insecta; Coleoptera; Chrysomelidae
Description: uncharacterized LOC126885631
Source: RNAcentral